GCGGGCAUGGCGGAAUUGGCAGACGCGCCAGAUUUAGGUUCUGGUGUCCAAGACGUGCAGGUUCAAGUCCUGUUGCCCGCA
Molecule: transfer RNA, 81 nt
Filed under: Clostridium sp.
Lineage: Bacteria; Bacillati; Bacillota; Clostridia; Eubacteriales; Clostridiaceae
Also listed under: 4 other names
Description: tRNA-Leu
Rfam family: tRNA
About the family: Transfer RNA (tRNA) molecules are approximately 80 nucleotides in length. Their secondary structure includes four short double-helical elements and three loops (D, anti-codon, and T loops).
Source: RNAcentral